UACGGGAGGAGCAGUGGGGAAUAUUGCACAAUGGGCGCAAGCCUGAUGCAGCCAUGCCGCGUGUAUGAAGAAGGCCUUCGGGUUGUAAAGUACUUUCAGUCGUGAGGAAGGUGUUAAGGUUAAUAACCUUAGCAAUUGACGUUAGCGACAGAAGAAGCACCGGCUAACUCCGUGCCAGCAGCCGCGGUAAUACGGAGGGUGCGAGCGUUAAUCGGAAUUACUGGGCGUAAAGGGCACGCAGGCGGUUAAUUAAGUUGGAUGUGAAAUCCCCGGGCUUAACCUGGGAAUGGCAUUCAAGACUGGUUAGCUAGAGUCUUGUAGAGGGGGUAGAAUUCCGAUGUGUAGCGGUGAAAUGCGUAGAGAUGUGGAGGAAUACCGGUGGCGAAGGCGGCCCCUGGACAAAGACUGACGCUCAUGUGCGAAAGCGUGGGGAGCAAACAGGGAUUAGAUACCCGU
RNAcentral lists this ribosomal RNA (456 nucleotides) under uncultured bacterium. Its description in RNAcentral is "bacterial SSU rRNA". It matches the Rfam family "Bacterial small subunit ribosomal RNA", at positions 340 to 789 of the family's 1533-position model. The record is from RNAcentral.